Molecule: ribosomal RNA, 1097 nt
Filed under: Acinetobacter sp.
Lineage: Bacteria; Pseudomonadati; Pseudomonadota; Gammaproteobacteria; Moraxellales; Moraxellaceae
Description: bacterial SSU rRNA
Rfam family: Bacterial small subunit ribosomal RNA
Source: RNAcentral
GAGCAUUGGGGCAGCUUACCAUGCAGUCGAGCGGAGAUGAGGUGCUUGCACCUUAUCUUAGCGGCGGACGGGUGAGUAAUGCUUAGGAAUCUGCCUAUUAGUGGGGGACAACAUUCCGAAAGGGAUGCUAAUACCGCAUACGUCCUACGGGAGAAAGCAGGGGAUCUUCGGACCUUGCGCUAAUAGAUGAGCCUAAGUCGGAUUAGCUAGUUGGUGGGGUAAAGGCCUACCAAGGCGACGAUCUGUAGCGGGUCUGAGAGGAUGAUCCGCCACACUGGGACUGAGACACGGCCCAGACUCCUACGGGAGGCAGCAGUGGGGAAUAUUGGACAAUGGGGGGAACCCUGAUCCAGCCAUGCCGCGUGUGUGAAGAAGGCCUUAUGGUUGUAAAGCACUUUAAGCGAGGAGGAGGCUACUGAGACUAAUACUCUUGGAUAGUGGACGUUACUCGCAGAAUAAGCACCGGCUAACUCUGUGCCAGCAGCCGCGGUAAUACAGAGGGUGCGAGCGUUAAUCGGAUUUACUGGGCGUAAAGCGUGCGUAGGCGGCUUUUUAAGUCGGAUGUGAAAUCCCCGAGCUUAACUUGGGAAUUGCAUUCGAUACUGGGAAGCUAGAGUAUGGGAGAGGAUGGUAGAAUUCCAGGUGUAGCGGUGAAAUGCGUAGAGAUCUGGAGGAAUACCGAUGGCGAAGGCAGCCAUCUGGGCCUAAUACUGACGCUGAGGUACGAAAGCAUGGGGAGCAAACAGGAUUAGAUACCCUGGUAGUCCAUGCCGUAAACGAUGUCUACUAGCCGUUGGGGCCCUUUGAGCUUUAGUGGCGCAGCUAACGCGAUAAGUAGACCGCCUGGGGAGUACGUCGCAAGACUAAAACUCAAAUGAAUUGACGGGGGUCGCCACAAAGCGGUGGAGGCAUGGUGAUUAUUUCGAUGCAACGCGAAGAACUUUACUGGCUUGAACUACUAGAAACUUGCAGGAUUGGAUUGGGUGCCUUUCGGAUGCCUAAGGAUUAACCAGGUCUGGCAUGCCUUGUCGUCAGCUCAGUUCCUGAAAAUGUAGUUAGUCCGCACGAGGGCAACCUAUCCUUACUUGGCAACUUCC